AAUCAGUGCUGAAAAUCGUCUCUCAUCCGCCAAAACAUCUUCGGCGUUGUAAGGUUAAGCCUCACGGUUCAUUAGUACCGGUUAGCUCAACGCAUCGCUGCGCUUACACACCCGGCCUAUCAACGUCGUCGUCUUCAACGUUCCUUCAGGAGACCUAAAGUCUCAGGGAGAACUCAUCUCGGGGCAAGUUUCGUGCUUAGAUGCUUUCAGCACUUAUCUCUUCCGCAUUUAGCUACCGGGCAGUGCCAUUGGCAUGACAACCCGAACACCAGUGAUGCGUCCACUCCGGUCCUCUCGUACUAGGAGCAGCCCCCCUCAGUUCUCCAGCGCCCACGGCAGAUAGGGACCGAACUGUCUCACGACGUUCUAAACCCAGCUCGCGUACCACUUUAAAUGGCGAACAGCCAUACCCUUGGGACCUACUUCAGCCCCAGGAUGUGAUGAGCCGACAUCGAGGUGCCAAACACCGCCGUCGAUAUGAACUCUUGGGCGGUAUCAGCCUGUUAUCCCCGGAGNNNNNNNNNNNNNNNNNNNNCCCUUCCAUUCAGAACCACCGGAUCACUAUGACCUGCUUUCGCACCUGCUCGCGCCGUCACGCUCGCAGUCAAGCUGGCUUAUGCCAUUGCACUAACCUCCUGAUGUCCGACCAGGAUUAGCCAACCUUCGUGCUCCUCCGUUACUCUUUAGGAGGAGACCGCCCCAGUCAAACUACCCACCAGACACUGUCCGCAACCCGGGUAACGGGUCCACGUUAGAACAUCAAACAUUAAAGGGUGGUAUUUCAAGGUCGGCUCCAUGCAGACUGGCGUCCACACUUCAAAGCCUCCCACCUAUCCUACACAUCAAGGCUCAAUGUUCAGUGUCAAGCUAUAGUAAAGGUUCACGGGGUCUUUCCGUCUUGCCGCGGGUACACUGCAUCUUCACAGCGAGUUCAAUUUCACUGAGUCUCGGGUGGAGACAGCCUGGCCAUCAUUACGCCAUUCGUGCAGGUCGGAACUUACCCGACAAGGAAUUUCGCUACCUUAGGACCGUUAUAGUUACGGCCGCCGUUUACCGGGGCUUCGAUCAGGAGCUUCGCUUGCGCUGACCCCAUCAAUUAACCUUCCGGCACCGGGCAGGCGUCACACCGUAUACGUCCACUUUCGUGUUUGCACAGUGCUGUGUUUUUAAUAAACAGUUGCAGCCAGCUGGUAUCUUCGACUGACUUCAGCUCCAUGAGUAAAUCACUUCACCUACGUGUCAGCGUGCCUUCUCCCGAAGUUACGGCACCAUUUUGCCUAGUUCCUUCACCCGAGUUCUCUCAAGCGCCUUGGUAUUCUCUACCUGACCACCUGUGUCGGUUUGGGGUACGAUUUGAUGUUACCUGAUGCUUAGAGGCUUUUCCUGGAAGCAGGGCAUUUGUUGCUUCAGCACCGUAGUGCCUCGUCGUCACGCCUCAGUGUUAAAGUGAACCGGAUUUACCUGGAACACACACCUACACGCUUAAACCGGGACAACCGUCGCCCGGCCAACAUAGCCUUCUCCGUCCCCCCUUCGCAGUAACACCAAGUACGGGAAUAUUAACCCGUUUCCCAUCGACUACGCCUUUCGGCCUCGCCUUAGGGGUCGACUCACCCUGCCCCGAUUAACGUUGGACAGGAACCCUUGGUCUUCCGGCGAGCGGGCUUUUCACCCGCUUUAUCGUUACUUAUGUCAGCAUUCGCACUUCUGAUACCUCCAGCAACCCUCACAGGCCNNNNNNNNNNNNNNNNNNNNCCUUCACAGGCUUACAGAACGCUCCCCUACCCAACAACACCUGAGUGUCGCUGCCGCAGCUUCGGUGCAUGGUUUAGCCCCGUUACAUCUUCCGCGCAGGCCGACUCGACCAGUGAGCUAUUACGCUUUCUUUAAAUGAUGGCUGCUUCUAAGCCAACAUCCUGGCUGUCUGGGCCUUCCCACAUCGUUUCCCACUUAACCAUGACUUUGGGACCUUAGCUGGCGGUCUGGGUUNNNNNNNNNNNNNNNNNNNNAUUCUCCGGUAUUCGCAGUUUGCAUCGGGUUGGUAAGCCGGGAUGGCCCCCUAGCCGAAACAGUGCUCUACCCCCGGAGAUGAAUUCACGAGGCGCUACCUAAAUAGCUUUCGGGGAGAACCAGCUAUCUCCCGNNNNNNNNNNNNNNNNNNNNCCCCCAGCCACAGGUCAUCCGCUAAUUUUUCAACAUUAGUCGGUUCGGUCCUCCAGUUAGUGUUACCCAACCUUCAACCUGCCCAUGGCUAGAUCACCGGGNNNNNNNNNNNNNNNNNNNNCCUGCAACUUAACGCCCGGUUAAGACUCGGUUUCCCUCCGGCUCCCCUAUACGGUUAACCUUGCUACAGAAUAUAAGUCGCUGACCCAUUAUACAAAAGGUACGCAGUCACACAGGUAAACCUGUGCUCCCACUGCUUGUACGUACACGGUUUCAGGUUCUUUUUCACUCCCCUCGCCGGGGUUCUUUUCGCCUUUCCCUCACGGUACUGGUUCACUAUCGGUCAGUCAGGAGUAUUUAGCCUUGGAGGAUGGUCCCCCCAUAUUCAGACAGGAUACCACGUGUCCCGCCCUACUCAUCGAGCUCACAGCACAUGCGCUUUUGUGUACGGGGCUGUC
Molecule: ribosomal RNA, 2621 nt
Filed under: Salmonella enterica subsp. enterica serovar Paratyphi A
Lineage: Bacteria; Pseudomonadati; Pseudomonadota; Gammaproteobacteria; Enterobacterales; Enterobacteriaceae
Description: 23S ribosomal RNA
Source: RNAcentral